This is a non-coding RNA of Streptococcus pneumoniae 2070335, 97 nucleotides long. The record is from Rfam. NCBI's taxonomy places the organism in Bacteria, Bacillati, Bacillota, Bacilli, Lactobacillales, Streptococcaceae.
UGUGCUAUACUAGUAAGGUUGAAUGAAUCAACCCUUGGUGCUUAGCUUCUUUCACCAAGCAUAUUACACGCGGAUAACCGCCAAAGGAGAAAAGAUG